GACGAACGCUGGCGGCGUGCUUAACACAUGCAAGUCGAACGGAAAGGCCCUGCUUUUGUGGGGUGCUCGAGUGGCGAACGGGUGAGUAACACGUGAGUAACCUGCCCUUGACUUUGGGAUAACUUCAGGAAACUGGGGCUAAUACCGGAUAGGAGCUCCUGCUGCAUGGUGGGGGUUGGAAAGUUUCGGCGGUUGGGGAUGGACUCGCGGCUUAUCAGCUUGUUGGUGGGGUAGUGGCUUACCAAGGCUUUGACGGGUAGCCGGCCUGAGAGGGUGACCGGGCACAUUGGGACUGAGAUACGGCCCAGACUCCUACGGGAGGCAGCAGUGGGGAAUAUUGCACAAUGGGCGGAAGCCUGAUGCAGCAGCGCCGCGUGCGGGAUGACGGCCUUCGGGUUGUAAACCGCUUUCGCCUGUGACGAAGCGUGAGUGACGGUAAUGGGUAAGGAAGCACCGGCUAACUACGUG
RNAcentral lists this ribosomal RNA (468 nucleotides) under uncultured bacterium. RNAcentral describes it as "partial 16S ribosomal RNA". It matches the Rfam family "Bacterial small subunit ribosomal RNA", at positions 28 to 507 of the family's 1533-position model. The record is from RNAcentral.